This is a long non-coding RNA of Bombyx mori (domestic silkworm), 1237 nucleotides long. RefSeq lists it as uncharacterized. The record is from RefSeq and is a predicted model, not a curated record. Lineage: Eukaryota; Metazoa; Arthropoda; Insecta; Lepidoptera; Bombycidae. The transcript has 2 exons.
GUAUGCUUAAAUCUUUAAAACUACGCAACGGAUUUUGAUGCUGUUUUUUUUAUAAUAGAUAGAGUGAUUGAAGAGGAAGGUUUAUAUGUAUAAUAACGUCCAUUAAAUAGUGGAGAAAUCAAUAAUAAAUUACAGUUUCCGAAGCGAAUCGAGGACGGGUCGCUAGUUCGAAUAUAAAAUUUUCCUCGCCUCUGUAUUAUUUAGAAAUGUUUUAGAUUCUUAAAUACAAGUUUUUAUUAUUUUUUUAGGAAUUCACACAGUCCCUUAAUGUUUUCGUUUAGGAUUAAUUUAUAAUGUUGCCAAUGUAUAAGGGAGCCAUUUUUAUUUAAACACUGGCAGCAUACGAAUCUAAUAAAUCGCACGAAAAAAAUAAUUUUAUUUAAUUUUCAACGAACUUACAAUAAGGAAAGAAUCAAUCAAGAAUUUAGUAAAAUAAACACGAGAUCAAACCUUAAGUGUUUUAAUCACGCACUUUAUUACUUUAAAAAAGUUUAGAGACAACAAAGACAAGAAUUUUGACAAGAUAACAUUUUUGUGAACACAUAUUAUUAUAUCUGAAACAAAUCUUUUUUCUAUUUCAUUACAGACUAAUCUAAAACCUAUUUAUAGCAUUAACAAUGUUACUGACUAGCAUUGGCGAGUGGAGUGAGCUUACAAAAAAAAACAUUACAAACAACUAAGAAAAAAGCAAGUAUCCUUGGAUUCGUCUUUCCCAGAGUCUACUAGAUAUUCCGGCGUUUUAGUAUAGUGUGCGCGGAAGCGCUAGUCACCGCCUGAGGUAUGUGAGCGGCAGGGCGGGGGAGGUAGACAAGCUAACUCAGUCUGCCGUCGACCACCGCGGCGGUUGUACGAUACAGUUGUCCUUGCCAGUUUGUUCCAAGCAUACACGAGAUAAAACAUCCUAAGAUGGGUCCGCCAAUUACACGACCGGUGUAAAAUGUAAUUUACAAUGUGCACAGUUUUUUUUCUUAGACCGUAAUGAGAAUUAUGUGUUACUUCUCUACGAAAAUCUAAAGAAAUAAAAAAGAGAAUCCACAUUGAUGAUUUCGACAUCGGGGUGUUACGAACGAAAAUUCAUCAGUUUUUGUUGAUAAAAAAUCAAAAUAGAUAAAUAUUUUUUUUUUAUAAUGUACUAUAACGGUGAUAGCGUAUUUUUUUUAUUUUCUUAUUAAGAAAUGUUAAUUUGCUUAUAAAAUUGUUUUGUAUCGUAAAUAAAAAAAUAUGAUAAACACUUGAA